This 460-nucleotide ribosomal RNA is filed under the name uncultured bacterium. RNAcentral's name for it is "partial 16S ribosomal RNA". It matches the Rfam family "Bacterial small subunit ribosomal RNA", at positions 338 to 795 of the family's 1533-position model. The record is from RNAcentral.
CCUACGGGCGGCAGCAGUGAGGAAUAUUGGUCAAUGGGCGCAAGCCUGAACCAGCCAAGUAGCGUGAAGGAUGACGGCCCUACGGGUUGUAAACUUCUUUUAUACGGGAAUAACGCGACUCACGUGUGCGUUUUUGCAUGUACCUUAUGAAUAAGGACCGGCUAACUCCGUGACAGCAGCCGCGGUAAUACGGAGGGUCCGAGCGUUAUCCGGAUUUAUUGGGUUUAAAGGGAGCGUAGGUGGGUUGUUAAGUAAGUUGUGAAAUUUUGGGGCUCAACCGGAAAAUUGCAAUUGAUACUGGCAGGCUUGAGUACAGUUGAAGUAGGCGGAAUUCGUGGUGUAGCGGUGAAAUGCUUAGAUAUCACGAAGAACCCCGAUUGCGAAGGCAGCUUACUAAACUGCCACUGACAUUGAUGCUCGAAAGUGUGGGUAUCAAACAGGAUUAGAUACCCGGGUAGUC